AGCCAUUAGCUCAGCUGGUAGAGCAUCUGACUUUUAAUCAGAGGGUCAGAGGUUCGAAUCCUCUAUGGCUCA
Molecule: transfer RNA, 72 nt
Filed under: Staphylococcus aureus
Lineage: Bacteria; Bacillati; Bacillota; Bacilli; Caryophanales; Staphylococcaceae
Also listed under: 1 other name
Description: tRNA-Lys
Rfam family: tRNA
About the family: Transfer RNA (tRNA) molecules are approximately 80 nucleotides in length.
Source: RNAcentral